UCGAGAAUCUUCCGCAAUGGACGAAAGUCUGACGGAGCGACGCCGCGUGAUCGAUGAAGUGCUUCGGUAUGUAAAGAUCUUUUAUGAGGGAAGAAGUUUAUUGACGGUACCUCAUGAAUAAGGACCUGCAAAACUCGUGCCAGCAGCAGCGGUAAUACGAGUGGUCCAAGCGUUAUCCGGAAUUAUUGGGCGUAAAGGGUGUGUAGGUGGUUUUGUUAGUCUUUUGUUUAACCCCAGAGCUCAACUUUGGAUCUGCAAAAGAAACGGCAAGACUAGAGGGUAUGAGAGGUAAACAGAACUUAUAGUGUAGGGGUGAAAUCCGUUGAUAUUAUAGGGAAUACCAAAAGCGAAGGCAGUUUACUGGCAUACUUCUGACACUGAGGCACGAAAGCGUGGGUAG
Molecule: ribosomal RNA, 400 nt
Filed under: uncultured bacterium
Lineage: Bacteria
Description: bacterial SSU rRNA
Rfam family: Bacterial small subunit ribosomal RNA
Source: RNAcentral